CGAUCCUACGGGGCGCAGCAGUGAGGAAUAUUGGUCAAUGGGCGGGAGCCUGAACCAGCCAAGUUGCGUGAAGGAAGAAGGUACUUAGUAUUGUAAACUUCUUUUGUCGGGGAACAAAGGCGGAGACGCGUCUCCGGAUGAGUGUACCCGAAGAAAAAGCAUCGGCUAACUCCGUGCCAGCAGCCGCGGUAAUACGGAGGAUGCGAGCGUUAUCCGGAUUUAUUGGGUUUAAAGGGUGCGCAGGCGGGAGAUCAAGUCAGCGGUAAAAAGUCGGGGCGCAACCCCGGCCGGCCGGUGAA
This 299-nucleotide ribosomal RNA is filed under the name uncultured bacterium. RNAcentral's name for it is "partial 16S ribosomal RNA". It matches the Rfam family "Bacterial small subunit ribosomal RNA", at positions 334 to 631 of the family's 1533-position model. The record is from RNAcentral.